This 134-nucleotide non-coding RNA is filed under the name Acinetobacter gerneri. Its description in RNAcentral is "TPP sequence". It matches the Rfam family "TPP riboswitch aptamer (THI element)". From Rfam's summary of the family: Vitamin B(1) in its active form thiamin pyrophosphate (TPP) is an essential coenzyme that is synthesised by coupling of pyrimidine and thiazole moieties in bacteria. The record is from RNAcentral. Lineage: Bacteria; Pseudomonadati; Pseudomonadota; Gammaproteobacteria; Moraxellales; Moraxellaceae. RNAcentral also lists the same sequence under 1 other name.
UUUAGCUUGACGGAGCGCGAGUAAUACCUCGCUGAGAUUGUGUAAGUUUUUCAUUUGUUUGCAAUAACUUAAGCACAAGUACCGUUGAACCUGAUCAGGUUAAGACCUGCGUAGGAAUCAAGCCGCUUAAAAAC